Molecule: ribosomal RNA, 460 nt
Filed under: uncultured bacterium
Lineage: Bacteria
Description: partial 16S ribosomal RNA
Rfam family: Bacterial small subunit ribosomal RNA
Source: RNAcentral
CCUACGGGAGGCAGCAGUGAGGAAUAUUGGUCAAUGGACGCGAGUCUGAACCAGCCAAGCAGCGUGCAGGAUGACUGCCCUAUGGGUUGUAAACUUCUUUUAUAUGGGAAUAAAACAGGGUAUGCAUACCAUCUUGUAUGUACCAUAUGAAUAAGGAUCGGCUAACUCCGUGCCAGCAGCCGCGGUAAUACGGAGGAUUCAAGCGUUAUCCGGAUUUCUUGGGUUUAAAGGGUGCGUAGGUGGAUUGUUAAGUCAGUUGUGAAAGUUUGCGGCUCAACCGUAGAAGUGCAGUUGAAACUGGCAGUCUUGAGUACAGUAGAGGUAGGCGGAAUGCGUGGUGUAGCGGUGAAAUGCUUAGAGAUCACGAAGAACACCGAUUGCGAAGGCAGCUCACUGGACUGCAACUGACACUGAGGCACGAAAGUGUGGGUAUCAAACAGGAUUAGAUACCCUGGUAGUC